GGGUUGUGAGGUUAAGCGACUAAGCGUACACGGUGGAUGCCCUGGCAGUCAGAGGCGAUGAAGGACGUGCUAAUCUGCGAUAAGCGUCGGUAAGGUGAUAUGAACCGUUAUAACCGGCGAUUUCCGAAUGGGGAAACCCAGUGUGUUUCGACACACUAUCAUUAACUGAAUCCAUAGGUUAAUGAGGCGAACCGGGGGAACUGAAACAUCUAAGUACCCCGAGGAAAAGAAAUCAACCGAGAUUCCCCCAGUAGCGGCGAGCGAACGGGGAGCAGCCCAGAGCCUGAAUCAGUGUGUGUGUUAGUGGAAGCGUCUGGAAAGGCGCGCGAUACAGGGUGACAGCCCCGUACACAAAAAUGCACAUGCUGUGAGCUCGAUGAGUAGGGCGGGACACGUGGUAUCCUGUCUGAAUAUGGGGGGACCAUCCUCCAAGGCUAAAUACUCCUGACUGACCGAUAGUGAACCAGUACCGUGAGGGAAAGGCGAAAAGAACCCCGGCGAGGGGAGUGAAAAAGAACCUGAAACCGUGUACGUACAAGCAGUGGGAGCACGCUUAGGCGUGUGACUGCGUACCUUUUGUAUAAUGGGUCAGCGACUUAUAUUCUGUAGCAAGGUUAACCGAAUAGGGGAGCCGAAGGGAAACCGAGUCUUAACUGGGCGUUAAGUUGCAGGGUAUAGACCCGAAACCCGGUGAUCUAGCCAUGGGCAGGUUGAAGGUUGGGUAACACUAACUGGAGGACCGAACCGACUAAUGUUGAAAAAUUAGCGGAUGACUUGUGGCUGGGGGUGAAAGGCCAAUCAAACCGGGAGAUAGCUGGUUCUCCCCGAAAGCUAUUUAGGUAGCGCCUCGUGAAUUCAUCUCCGGGGGUAGAGCACUGUUUCGGCAAGGGGGUCAUCCCGACUUACCAACCCGAUGCAAACUGCGAAUACCGGAGAAUGUUAUCACGGGAGACACACGGCGGGUGCUAACGUCCGUCGUGAAGAGGGAAACAACCCAGACCGCCAGCUAAGGUCCCAAAGUCAUGGUUAAGUGGGAAACGAUGUGGGAAGGCCCAGACAGCCAGGAUGUUGGCUUAGAAGCAGCCAUCAUUUAAAGAAAGCGUAAUAGCUCACUGGUCGAGUCGGCCUGCGCGGAAGAUGUAACGGGGCUAAACCAUGCACCGAAGCUGCGGCAGCGACGCUGAUGCGUUGUUGGGUAGGGGAGCGUUCUGUAAGCCUGCGAAGGUGUGCUGUGAGGCAUGCUGGAGGUAUCAGAAGUGCGAAUGCUGACAUAAGUAACGAUAAAGCGGGUGAAAAGCCCGCUCGCCGGAAGACCAAGGGUUCCUGUCCAACGUUAAUCGGGGCAGGGUGAGUCGACCCCUAAGGCGAGGCCGAAAGGCGUAGUCGAUGGGAAACAGGUUAAUAUUCCUGUACUUGGUGUUACUGCGAAGGGGGGACGGAGAAGGCUAUGUUGGCCGGGCGACGGUUGUCCCGGUUUAAGCGUGUAGGCUGGUUUUCCAGGCAAAUCCGGAAAAUCAAGGCUGAGGCGUGAUGACGAGGCACUACGGUGCUGAAGCAACAAAUGCCCUGCUUCCAGGAAAAGCCUCUAAGCAUCAGGUAACAUCAAAUCGUACCCCAAACCGACACAGGUGGUCAGGUAGAGAAUACCAAGGCGCUUGAGAGAACUCGGGUGAAGGAACUAGGCAAAAUGGUGCCGUAACUUCGGGAGAAGGCACGCUGAUAUGUAGGUGAGGUCCCUCGCGGAUGGAGCUGAAAUCAGUCGAAGAUACCAGCUGGCUGCAACUGUUUAUUAAAAACACAGCACUGUGCAAACACGAAAGUGGACGUAUACGGUGUGACGCCUGCCCGGUGC
RNAcentral lists this ribosomal RNA (1852 nucleotides) under Escherichia coli. RNAcentral describes it as "partial 23S ribosomal RNA". It matches the Rfam family "Bacterial large subunit ribosomal RNA", at positions 1 to 1869 of the family's 2925-position model. Lineage: Bacteria; Pseudomonadati; Pseudomonadota; Gammaproteobacteria; Enterobacterales; Enterobacteriaceae. The record is from RNAcentral.